Long non-coding RNA from Scylla paramamosain (green mud crab), 1589 nucleotides. RefSeq lists it as uncharacterized. Lineage: Eukaryota; Metazoa; Arthropoda; Malacostraca; Decapoda; Portunidae. The record is from RefSeq and is a predicted model, not a curated record. The transcript has 5 exons.
CUCCUCCUCCUUCACUUCACUCCACACUCCUCAUUCCCUCCUACUCCUACCUCAUCCACACUACCAUCCUUUAAACUCCACAUCCACAUUUAAGAACUACAACCAAAUCAAUCACGCCACACUCAGUUCCUACUCUUCCACACCUCCAUUCACUCCCCUGCUGCAAUCCUUCACUCCUUCCUUCUUGCCUGGUGCGCCUCUCCCCGCCCCGCCCCGCCCCGCCCCGCCUCGCCCCGCCCCAUGAUGGAUGAAAGGGAGGAUCUAGCAGUAGAGGACAUGAGUGGUAAUUGUUAGUCUGUCCCGUAAUGGUUCGCUCGUACAACGCAGUGGAGUGUUAUCUGGUCCGCUACAUAAGGAGGAGGAAGAGGAGGGAGAGGAGGAGGAGGAGGAAGAGGAGGGGGAGGAGAUAGAUAAGCAGGAAGAGGAGUGGAAUGAGGAUAAGUAGGAGUAGGAAGAGGAGAGACUUGAGAGGAAGAGGGAGAUAGAGAUGAGGAUAAGUAGGAGGAGGAGGAGAAGGAGGAGGAUAGAGUAAGAGGAAGAGGAAGAUAAGAAGAUACGUAGAAAGAGUACAGAGAGACGGAGGAAGGAUUUAAGAGGAAGAGGGAGAUAGGGAUGAAGAUAAGUAGUAGGAGGAGGAGGAGGAUAGACUAAGAGGAAGAGGAUGCGUAGAAGGACAAAGAGGAGGAAGAAGGAUUUGAGAAGAAUAGGAUAGGGAUGAGGGUAUGUUAGAGGAGAAGAGGACGAAAAAGAAGAGGAAGAGUAAGAAGAAGAAGAACACAAUACCGAAGAUGGGAGGAGGAAGAAAAAUGAAGAAGUAAUAAUAGAUGAAGAGGAAAAGAAAGAAGAACAAGGACAAAGAGAAAGAUGAGAAUCACACAAGAGGAGCGACGCAAGAGACACACGAAUGAACAAGCACAGACAGACAGACAGACAAACAGGAAGAAAAUGAUGUGGAAGAGGAACAGAGGAUGUAUAUAGACAGAGUGAAGGAAGUUGAGACGAGACGAAAGGGAAAGGAGGAAGAAGGCUUGGGAGUUCCAGCUUCGCCCAGACUUCCUUGUUAGUCUCUGAAGGAGCUUUGAUCUUGUCACGCCCGAGCGCUCACUCACGCACCGCUUCACAUGACGUGGCGACAGCACAGUGUCUCCAGCAAACUUUACAAAGGCGACGUUGCGAGAAGUCAGCGCGUGUCAGCAGCAGAGCAAGUGAGCCAGUCAGCGAGUCAGCAGUGCGGAGAAGAGGUUACUUAAGGGCGGAAGAACAUGAUCAAACUUCCUUAAAGAGAAAAUUUGUCAGGUAAGACUCGCUAUUGAGGAAAAAGCUGAAUUGUCACUUCGGGAAAGAUGAAAAGUCAACAAAAUAGGAUCAAGAAUUGGAGCUUGUCCGUGCAGCUGACUCGUGUGCUUGACUUUUUGCGGUAAUUCAAAUGCAUCACUGUGGAAACUGUUCAGAGCGUAAGGUGUUGUGUGCGCGUGUUGGGAUUUUGUGUUGCAGCAUUUCCUGAUUUGUUGUCUCUCGUUGGGUAGUGAAAGCUUACAUAUUUAUUCAUCAUGUCGAGGAGAUGAUGCAUAAUAAAGGAACCUUCUUGC